Molecule: ribosomal RNA, 253 nt
Filed under: uncultured bacterium
Lineage: Bacteria
Description: partial 16S ribosomal RNA
Rfam family: Bacterial small subunit ribosomal RNA
Source: RNAcentral
UACGAAGGGGGCUAGCGUUGCUCGGAAUCACUGGGCGUAAAGCGCACGUAGGCGGACUCUUAAGUCAGGGGUGAAAUCCUGGAGCUCAACUCCAGAACUGCUUUUGAUACUGGGGGUCUUGAGUUCGGGAGAGGUGAGUGGAACUGCGAGUGUAGAGGUGAAAUUCGUAGAUAUUCGCAAGAACACCAGUGGCGAAGGCGGCUCACUGGCCCGAUACUGACGCUGAGGUGCGAAAGCGUGGGGAGCAAACAGG